RNAcentral lists this long non-coding RNA (305 nucleotides) under Carica papaya (papaya). RNAcentral's name for it is "long non-coding RNA (CPAP_LNC004001)". The record is from RNAcentral. Lineage: Eukaryota; Viridiplantae; Streptophyta; Magnoliopsida; Brassicales; Caricaceae.
UAAAUGGGUUUAGUCUUUUGUACCUUUCGAUGUAGCCUGAGUCCAUCAUGGAUAGUACUGGGUCCCGUGGAAGAGGGACUACAUUGUACUGUGGAGGGAUUGGGUAGCCCUGCGGCUGUGCCAGAUGAUGUGGUGGAGGCAUUGGAUUGUACUAUGGUGGUUCGAAAUGAUACGUAAAAGGAGCAGGGUUGUACCGGGGUGGCUCUGGAUAUUUUCACUGCAAGGGUGGUACAAAUUGUGGCAGUUGGGGAGGGUCAGACAACUCCUUCCUUUCCUCCCAGGCCUACUGGGUAGAGAUGAGUCUC